GCGGAAUUAGCUCAUCCGGUAGAGCGCGACCUUCCCAAGGUUGAGGUGGCGGGUUCGAGUCCCGUAUUCCGCUCCA
Molecule: transfer RNA, 76 nt
Filed under: Clostridia bacterium
Lineage: Bacteria; Bacillati; Bacillota; Clostridia
Description: tRNA-Gly
Rfam family: tRNA
About the family: Transfer RNA (tRNA) molecules are approximately 80 nucleotides in length.
Source: RNAcentral